CUAUGAUAACCCAGCAUGUUGUGCACUGCAUGCUGACAAGCAUCAAAGAGGAAGGAGGAAUAAAGUAGAUCAAGACAGCUUUGAGAGAAACUUCCAGCAGAGCAAAUGAGGAUGGCACAGCCUAUCACUUUUCUGGGGAUCUGUAAUGACUAUGCCACACUACAAGUAGAGUAUAUGGUUCUGCAUCAAGAGGAGGCCUUUAAUAUUCAGAGAUGACUGUUCUGAAAUUGGAGUAGCUGCCACCUUGUUCCAGAAUCCAUCAUCAGCACUUCACAUAUCUUAACUCCUUCUUCUUCAGAAAACUUGCUUUGAGCAAAUGAUAGAAGGUAAUAUUCUACAGAUGAGGAAAUUAAGGGGAAACCUUAGCCUGUAGACAGCCUAUCUACCUAACAACCUGACUCACUGAAGGCCAAGGAUUAACAACAGAACUGUUGUAGUAAUCCAGGAAAGAAAAGAAGAGGAAAAAGUGAUGAGUAAAGCAAAAAAAUCUAAUGAUGAAGUACUCAGAAGAAAUGUGUUGCCAUAGAUCAGGACAAAUAUUUCCAGAUUUGAUUCCAGUAUUACUAAAGUGAGCCAGAGCAUAUUUCUAAACUCUA
Molecule: long non-coding RNA, 596 nt
Organism: Acomys russatus (golden spiny mouse)
Lineage: Eukaryota; Metazoa; Chordata; Mammalia; Rodentia; Muridae
Exons: 3
Source: RefSeq, a predicted model, not a curated record